CCAAUCAUCUGUCUGACUGACAGUCUCAUCGUAGAGGUAAACCAAUCAUCUGGCUGACAGGAUCAUCGUAGAGGCUUCCAUGUUUUCUCCCUGGACCUCCUCAAUGUCCACCUCUUAAACAUCAGACUCUGAGGCCUCAUCUUCACUGUCACUUUCCAACCUUGUUGAGGAAGGCUCGUUGUCAGGCUCAAAAAGCCUUGUAUUGGUCAGCCUGUUGCGUGCAUUGGUGUGUGUGUUCCCAAACAAGGACCAGUUGCGCUCUGAGUUGAUGGAGGCAACAGGAGAAAGAGCCUCAGAUCCACAAAUUCCCUUCCACCAGGUGGCUGAUGAGAUAUGUUGGCGCUACUGCCAUAUUGCAUCUCCCACCCAAAGCCCUUGCUUGGAAGUGUACUUCACCAGACUGCCAAAAACCUUGCCCUCAUCCAGGUCAAGGUGACGAGACACGGUAGUGAUGACACCAUAGGCCUUGUUGAUAUCUGCACCAGACAGGAUGCUCUCGCCAGCAUGCUUGAGGUCCAACAUGUACACUGCGGCGUGUAUGG
RNAcentral lists this long non-coding RNA (542 nucleotides) under Salmo salar (Atlantic salmon). RNAcentral's name for it is "lncRNA (ENSSSAG00000086515.1)". Lineage: Eukaryota; Metazoa; Chordata; Actinopteri; Salmoniformes; Salmonidae. The record is from RNAcentral.